GUUAUUUUUUGGCGCGGCUUUGUCCGCGGCCUAUUUUUGGCACACUGAAGCCCCUCGCAAAGUCUCGCGGCAUUCCGAGUCCGGCUGACGAAGUUGGCCAGCCCCACCCCCCAAGGCUAAAGCGCACCCGUUUUUGUGGCCUUUUUCCGCUGGACGAACUUGGCGCCCCGGCCUUCGGGCGGUUAUUUUUGGGUGCGGCAUUGUGCGCGGCCUAUUUUUGGCACACGGAAGCCCCUCACAAAGUCUCGCGGCAUUCCGAGUCCGGCGGACGAAGUUGGCCACCCCACCCGCCAAGGCUAUAGCCCACCCGUUUUUAUGGCCUUUUUCCGCGGGACGAACUUGGCGCCCCGGCCUUUGGGCCGUUAUUUUUGGUCGCGGCUUUACCCGCGGCCUAUUUUUGGCACACGGAGGCCCCUCGCAAAGUCUCGCGGCAUUCCGAAUCCGUUGGACGAAGUUGGCCAGCCUCACCCCCCAAGGCUAUAGCCCACCCGUUUUUGUGGCCUUUUUCCGCUGGACGAACUUGGCGCCCCGGACGUCGGGCGGUUAUUUUCGUGCGCGGCUUUACCCGUGGCCUAUUUUUGGCACACAGAGGCCCCUCGCAAAGUCUCGCAGCAUUCCGAGUCCGGCGGACGAAGUCGGCCAGCAUCACCCCCCAAGGCUAUAGCCCACCCGUUUUUGUGGCCUUUUUCCGCUGGACGAACUUGGCGCCCCGGCGUUCGGGCGGUUAAUUUGGGGCGCUACUUUGACCGCGGCCUAUUUUUGGCACACGGAGGCCCCUCGCAAAGUCUCGCGGCAUUCCGAGUCCGGCGGACGAAGUUGGCCAUCAUCACCCCCCAAGGCUAUAGCCCACCCGUUUUUGUGGCCUUUUUCCGCUGGACGAACUUGGCGCACCCGCCGUCGGGUGGUUAUUUUUGGGCGCGGCUUUGCCCGCGGCCUAUUUUUGGCACACGGAAGCCCCUCGCAAAGUCUCGCGGCAUUCCGAGUCCGGCGGACGAAGUUGGCCAGCCCCACCCCCCAAGGCUAUAGCCCACCCGUUUUUGUGGCCUUUUUCCGCUGGACGAACUUGGCGCCCCGGACGUCGGGCGGUUAUUUUCGUGCGCGGCUUUACCCGUGGCCUAUUUUUGGCACACAGAGGCCCCUCGCAAAGUCUCGCAGCAUUCCGAGUCCGGCGGACGAAGUCGGCCAGCAUCACCCCCCAAGGCUAUAGCCCACCCGUUUUUGUGGCCUUUUUCCGCUGGACGAACUUGGCGCACCCGCCGUCGGGUGGUUAUUUUUGGGCGCGGCUUGUCCGCAGCCUAUUUUGGCACACAGAGGCC
Molecule: long non-coding RNA, 1316 nt
Filed under: Citrus x clementina
Lineage: Eukaryota; Viridiplantae; Streptophyta; Magnoliopsida; Sapindales; Rutaceae
Description: Citrus clementina (C. clementina) long non-coding RNA (CCLE_LNC004860)
Source: RNAcentral